RNAcentral lists this ribosomal RNA (371 nucleotides) under uncultured organism. RNAcentral describes it as "partial 16S ribosomal RNA". It matches the Rfam family "Bacterial small subunit ribosomal RNA", at positions 527 to 896 of the family's 1533-position model. The record is from RNAcentral.
GGAGGAUCCAAGCGUUAUCCGGGAUUUAUUGGGGGUUUAAAGGGAGCGUAGGUUGACAUAUAAGUCAGCUGUGAAAGUUUACGGGCUCAACCGUGAAAUUGCAGUUGAUACUGUAUGUCUUGAGUGUACAAGAGGUGGGCGGAAUUCGUGGUGUAGCGGUGAAAUGCUUAGAUAUCACGAAGAACUCCAAUUGCGAAGGCAGCUCACUGGGGUACAACUGACACUGAGGCUCGAAAGUGUGGGUAUCAAACAGGAUUAGAUACCCUGGUAGUCCACACAGUAAACGAUGAAUACUCGCUGUUUGCGAUAUACAGUAAGCGGCCAAGCGAAAGCAUUAAGUAUUCCACCUGGGGAGUACGCCGGCAACGGUG